Molecule: long non-coding RNA, 3059 nt
Organism: Melospiza melodia melodia
Lineage: Eukaryota; Metazoa; Chordata; Aves; Passeriformes; Passerellidae
Exons: 8
Source: RefSeq, a predicted model, not a curated record
UACGAAGAACCUGGAGUGAGAUGAGUGGUGAUGAUUCUUUCUCUAGAGUGUGAAUCCUGAUGGUACAUCGGGUACAUCCUGACAUAUGACUUGUACUGCUAGGAAAGGACACAGGAGAGAAGAGAGUCCUCUGCUUCAGCUGAAAUUAUUACAAGGGGCUGGAAAGAGGUAUUAUUUGUAGAAAGUAUGCAAGGAUCAGCAGUAAAUGAAUUUGAAGCAAAGGUGAAGCAAACUUUCAAGAAACACCAUGAAACUGCAAACUGGUGAUUACACUACACAAGAAGAGAUCCUAGACCAUCAUGGCAUAAAGAUGAUUAGGUACUUCUCUAUGGAGGAUGAGACUCCAGUGGUUUUGUUCUUCCCUGAGGUCUGACUGAAGAGGUUGGAGUUUUUUGUGAAGGAAAGUACCAAAGAGCAACUGAUCUGUUUCCCUUCAUAAAUCUUGAAGGCUUGACAGAUGGGCCGAAAGCACUGCAGACGUUUGAACAAGGAAAUAGAGAGGGAGCCUGCUGGAAGCAAGGCUUCACGCAGCCAGCCGCGGAUGAUGAAUAGAGUGUGAUUGUGUCUGACAGGUGAUUAGAAAAUGUUGGCCUGUUGUUACGACUAAGAGGGCUGCUGUCAUGUGCUUUUCACCCUGUGUUUUGCUGUGAAGGAAAUAUUGUUAAGAAUUGAAGAAUAAAGUUCUUUUGGGACCAUAAUGUCUACAUCCAAAUAUUAAAGAGACAAAGAUUUGUAUCAAGAAUAUAACCUCUAAGUAGUAGAAGAGAAAGCCUGCGUCUAAAGGGUGACCUCAGACAGGACAACACUCUCCAGGCGACCUGGAAAAGCUCCAGAACAGGACUCCUGAUAGCUGAUCUACCAACACUGGAGGAAUUAACUCGUGCAUGGCUGUGGCUGCUGAACUUCUGCCCCUGGGAGAACAGUGCUCCUGUGACCCAAAGAGAAGAUCCACAGUGAUGUGAAGCUCCAUCUCCUUGUGCUCGCUGCACAGAUGAUCUUUGCUCAUUUUUUUCACAUGAGGAAGGCAGAAUGACUGUCAGUACUGAAAUUGUACUGUGCAGUCAUUUGUUUUUGCAAAAAGGAAAAUUCUGCACAGUGGAGCUAUGGCAAAUAUGUAUGUGCUCCUCAGCUCAUAUUACAAUAAUUACAAUGUUUAGCAAUGGGUCAUUGAUGUUGCGUGUCAGCAGAUGAGUAAUGUUUUUGAUGAUGUUAAUGGACACCACGAAAAUUUUCAAGCAGUGCAUUCAUUUGACUUGUUUUCCUCACCUGCCCACAAAUUUCUUUAAUUUCAGAUAGACCUCAUACAGCACAGCAAAAAAUAUCACAGCUGCAAGCACUGAGAGAUGAAAUACUGGCUGGGAAGUUGGGACAGUUGUUUCAGACAAGCACAGAACUGUUUGGGUGUUAUGAUUAAUAUGGAAAAUAUUUUAAGCUGGCCCAACAAACCGGGGCAUAAGCCUUUCUAUGAGAUGUAUUUAAACUGGUGCACUUAGAGUGAACAAACUAGAUUGAUGUAAUGUCCCCGCGUAGACAUGCCCUUGCUCUGCUUGCCUCCGUGCUUUGAUCUGAGAUCAGGGAGCGAGAUGAAAGCAGAUCAGAGAGUGCUCCCUAUUGUACCUCUGUAAGUGAUCACAUCUAUCUUCAUGUGAUGCCAUGGCAGCUGAGGCCAGCUCAGGUGGCAGAGCUGAUUUCCCACAGUUAUAAAUGCAAAGGGACUGUGGGCAGGGAAUUUCAAUGAGGGACACUUGAUUUUGCAAUGUCAACCAGCAGGCCCUCAGUCAGCUGAUUUAAUCUUCUGCACUGCCUAUCCAUUUAGCCACGUUUUUGGAAAGUGGUUUCAUUAGAGGCAGUCGUAAAGAUGUAGGUCCUUUGUUUAUUUCAUGUCAUGGGACAGAAUAGUUACUUCAGUGACAGAAAAAUUAGGUGUAGUUGCUUAAAAUGAAUAUCACUGUUCUGACACAAAAGAGAGGAAGUGAACAGAAUGUAAUUGAUUACUGUUACUAAUGGAUAUGCUACAUGGAAAAAUGAAUAUAUAUUGUUGAUAGAUCUAUGUAAACACAAAAAAAUUACUUAUUUGCUUCUUCUAGUAGCCAUGUAUAGAUGUUCUAAUGCCAAAUACAUGUUGGGAGUUCUAUAGAAAUACUGUCUUCCACUGAAAGAGCCUAAGUAUUGACUAUGCAUCUAUAAUCAUCUUGCUUGGCUAAACUCACAGUAUGAUGUCUUUUACUUCAGAAUGAAAUCUUUACAUUUCCUACUGAAUGUGGUGCGGAGGAAGUAGUAAAAUCUUGUUCUGAGUUUCCAAAAUCUGCUAGAAGAUGUAAUGCAUCAGCUUUUGCUGGAAAACCGCACUGCUGGAACACAAAUCACAGCCUUUUGCAGAAAAUGCUGAAAUUAACCCAAUGAUUAUAAGUUCUAUUAAAAAAGCAUUUUUAUUUUUCUGCUGUCUGUGGAUACAUUCACAUGGAAGUAAACUUCAUUUUGCACUUGAUAAGUUUUUGCAUUAAUUUUUUUAUUGUUUGUACAAUAACAUGGAUUUAGUCUUUGCAAUCUUUUAGUGUAACCAUCCUUCACAACAAGAAUUUUUGUCUAUUCCAGCAGUGUAAAUGGAAAUAAGAGAGCAUAUAUAAUUUUUAAUUAGGUCUUUUAUUGCCAUGACUGAAUAAGGGUCAAAAGCUUCAAAUAUUUUACAGAUUAUUUAUUUGUGCAAGAAAAUAUCCAGUUAUCUUGUCUGUUGAUUAUUCCUGAGAAUUGUAGACUUAGAUCUAGAAAAAGAGCUUAUCUAAUGUUUAGAAAGAGUAUUAGCAUUUCAAAUCAGUUCCUGCAACUAAUUUGUUUUCCUCUACUGCCAUUGAUCAAACUUUUCCAUGUCAAACCAGUAUGUCAAAACAGAAUUGAAUAACUUGGAAAUAUGAAUAAAUCUAUUCAGACUGUUCAUUCUGUGGCAGUGGUUAAUAACAGUUGUUUAAAAGCCUCAAAAUGACCUGAGUUGGAAUAAUUCCCUGUUCUGCAGUGAAUGAAAUUAUAUUUUGAGUAUUAGAAAAUAAAAGGAGAUCUUGAAC